AGAAACGAAAUCAAUAAAAUAUCACAGGUUAAUACUAUUUCUUAGGUUCUAUAGCACGAAAUGUUACCAUGUGCUUUCAUUUCAUGAUCAUAUGCAUCUAUUUGCAUGUAGCUUCGAUAUCAACUUACUGAUACUUGUCAACUUGGACGAUUCUAUUUCGUAUAUAAAUUUCUUAAAUCAGCAUGAUAAAUUGACAAACUAAUAAUCCAAAUAUAUAUAUUAAAUUUUAUGGUUUCCAAUAGAUUUCUUUAUAAUAAAUAUUUCUUAUCUCAGGGUGCAAGAUUCGGCACCUAUGUUUGAGGGCUACAUACUUUCAAUAUAGAUGGCUUUUCCCAGCUGACUGAAUUUUGGAUUUUGACGUCAUAUUCUCUAGCUCUCUAUCCUAGUAAUCCAGAGUUAACCUAUUUUCUACAAUUUCCACAUUUAAGGUAAUUUAAUUAAUUUAUCUUCUACUAUCCCCAUUUGUGUCCUUUUUUAUAUGAUGUAGAUUAUUUAAAAUACAUACUUAAAAAAUUGUUCUUUGACUGUUUCAGGCUUCUAACAGUUGGAAGGAAUGAAACGUUGGAUUGUUGCCAUGUGGUCUAGGCCAAGAUUGAAUUUAUCAUGAUAGAAAAGCUGCACUGAAUUCGUCUAACGUCCUGAAUUCGUGAUUAUGGAUCUGGAAAAACAUCAGAGGUUCACCACUUAACAGGCUGGAUAAUCGAAGAUGCCAUGAAUUCCAAGAGGAUUCUUGGCAGUGAUUGGAGAUAUCUGGGCAGUGGACUCCAUCGCGCCCCCCUCAGCGUCGAUCAUCGCUACUACCACCGUCUGCAGUGUGUCCGCUACCUCACUUUGCGCGGACGAAAAGAGACUCAUUUUUAAAAAUGGAUAAAGUGUCAAGUGUUUGUAAAAAAGUAAAAGUUUUGGCCACCAAAGUGUUAAGUGCACAAGCAAGGAUAGGCCUAUGGAUAUACUCUUGACUCAGUCUGUUUUUUUCCCGACUGACAAGAAAGCCUGGGCUGACGACAGUUUUCGACAAUCCACCGCACAGGAGGCAGCACCGCACGGAACAGCGCUACAUCAACGUGCUCAAUUCAAGAAUGGCCACAACAAAAGGAAAAACAUUUCAAAAAAUACAAAAAUAUUUAUUAUGUCAUACGAGCAUGUACAAAAUAUGUAAAAUAAAUAAAAAUAUUAAGGAAGUGUGGUAUAUUCUACUCGGUGCAUGAAUACAUUGUAAUUUUAGAAUAAGCCAAUCAAAAUACAGUAACUGACCGGCGGUAAAAGCAAGUCAAUUCAAAAAUAUACUUUAUUUAUUAUAUAAAUGAUAAGAAUUUGUAAGUCAUACAAUACUCAGUUCAUGUAACAGAUGUAAAUUGAAUAAUUAGAAAAUAUAAUAUGUAAUCUUUAUGCAAUAACCUAGCAGAUUGACACGGACUAUUUCGAAUUAUGUGAUUGUGUAGUAGUUAAAUAUUUAAAUAAAAUGCAAAUUUGAAAUACAGAAGUAUGAUCAUGGAAAGAAUAGGGGUAGAUCAAAGCCUACUUGCUUGCCAGAGGUCACCAGGAACAGCCACCAAUUAUGUAGAGCACAAGAUCCCUUUUUGGUAAUUGUACGUUUUAAAAGUUCAAGUUUGAAUUUAAUAAUUAAUUCAAUAAUACUCAGUGAGGACGUAUUAAGAUGUGAGUCACAUAGAAUUCAUUGAUAUUCCAUUGAAGAAGACGACAUCAGCCCACCAGAAAAGCCUAGGACGUCAAAAGAAUCCAGAUCACCAUCAUUUUGUGAAAUUCGACAUGUGAGUUUAACAUUUAAAAGAUAUCCAGGGCGCCCUCAGUGAAUCGAAUGAAUCAUGAUUCAAUAAAGCUAGCUCAACGAAAGGUUAUUUGAAUAUUGAAAUUAAUAUCAAACUUGCGCAAGUCUUUAAACAUAAAGGGAAUUUUAUUAAGAACAAUCUAUCAGAUUUACAUGUUCAAGUAUGCACAGAUAAAAUAUUUAAUUAAUUUUCAUAUUAUAAUAUAUGCUCAAUUGACCAUUCUUUCUAUCAGUAAAUUAUAAAGAUGUUAAUGAAGCUCUUGCUCAUAGGAUAAUUUGAUUUAUCUGAUUUCCACCAGAGGCCGAAUCUUAGCCCUGAGAGAUACAUAUUAAUAUAUUUUGAGAUUUAUAAUUUAUAAUUGGUUAUUAAUAUUAAUUUGGGAAGAAGAUAUAUAAGAUUUUAUUAGACAAGCAAUAGUAAGUCAAUAACUGAGCUACAUAAUUUAAAUGCAUAUGAUUGCUGAGUUAAGAAGCACAUGGUAAUAUU
Molecule: long non-coding RNA, 2276 nt
Organism: Nilaparvata lugens (brown planthopper)
Lineage: Eukaryota; Metazoa; Arthropoda; Insecta; Hemiptera; Delphacidae
Exons: 3
Source: RefSeq, a predicted model, not a curated record